RNAcentral lists this ribosomal RNA (253 nucleotides) under uncultured bacterium. RNAcentral's name for it is "partial 16S ribosomal RNA". It matches the Rfam family "Bacterial small subunit ribosomal RNA", at positions 524 to 776 of the family's 1533-position model. The record is from RNAcentral.
UACGAAGGGGGCUAGCGUUGCUCGGAAUCACUGGGCGUAAAGCGCGCGUAGGCGGCUUUGUAAGUCGGUUGUGAAAUCCCCGGGCUCAACCUGGGAACUGCAUCCGAGACUGCAUAGCUAGAGUAUGGGAGAGGGAAGUGGAAUUUCAGGUGUAGCGGUGAAAUGCGUAGAUAUCUGAAGGAACAUCAGUGGCGAAAGCGACUUCCUGGACCAAUACUGACGCUCAUGUGCGAAAGCGUGGGGAGCAAACAGG